This 568-nucleotide unclassified non-coding RNA is filed under the name Hevea brasiliensis (rubber tree). Lineage: Eukaryota; Viridiplantae; Streptophyta; Magnoliopsida; Malpighiales; Euphorbiaceae. The record is from RNAcentral.
ACAUGCUGCAGAAACUUAAGAUUGUCAAGAUAGUCAGUGUCAUACAUUUAUGCAAGUGCAACUCAAAGACAAUUAGAUGCAAAUGCUGACUUGCACAAGUCAUCUAACAAAUUCUUCUAUUAUUAAAAAGUGGGAAGGAAAUUUUGCAAAUCUCAAAUUAAGAUCAAAAUUAUGAUAUGCAUCCUUCAAAUGAUGUCUCAGUAGUAGAAUGAGUGAAACAUUCUCUUGAACAUCCAUGAAUUUCUAAAGUCUAAUGUGAUACACAAAGAGUAAGAAACUAAAAUGCAACCUCCAUUUGACUUUGAUUUAAACAAAGGACACUGAAAAGUUGCAGGCCCUAAUCUUAGGGCUCAUAUGGAAUAGCUAGGACAAAAUGCAAAGCAAUUAAAAAAAUGAAUCUCAAUACCUUCCCAUAAGUUCCCAUUGUCCCCUUUCAAAAACACACAAAUAUUUUUUUUUCAAUUUUGUUAAAGGUGAAUUUCUUGUAAUGUGAUUUCUAGUGAAGAAACAUUUCAUAGUUGAUCUCACACAAUAUUAAUCAAAAAGAAAGCACAAAUCUAGAUCUAAA